UCCAGAGGUCUCAAGCGUUGUUCGGAUUCAUUGGGCGUAAAGGGUGUGUAGGUGGCGCCGUAAGUCGGGUGUGAAAUUUCGGAGCUUAACUCCGAAACUGCAUUCGAUACUGCGGUGCUUGAGGACUGGAGAGGAGACUGGAAUUCAUGGUGUAGCAGUGAAAUGCGUAGAGAUCAUGAGGAAGACCAGUGGCGAAGGCGGGUCUCUGGACAGUUCCUGACGCUGAGGCACGAAGGCCAGGGGAGCAAACGGG
Molecule: ribosomal RNA, 253 nt
Filed under: uncultured bacterium
Lineage: Bacteria
Description: partial 16S ribosomal RNA
Rfam family: Bacterial small subunit ribosomal RNA
Source: RNAcentral